GCUGGGCAUAUUGGUAUAUGCCUGUGGUCCCAGGUACUAGGGAGGCUGAGGUGGGAGGAUCACUUGAGCCCAGGAGGUUGAGGCUGCAGUGAGCUGAGAUCAUGUUACUGCACUCUAGCCUGAGUGACAGAGCAAGACACUGUCUCGAAAAUAUAUAUAUUUAUUGUCAUUUUGAGAUAGGGUCUCAUUCUGUUGCCUAGGCUGGGGUGCAGCAGGGUGAUUAUAGCUCAUUGCAGCCUCAAAGUCCUGGGCUCAAGUGAUCCUCCCACCUCAG
This is an unclassified non-coding RNA of Pongo abelii (Sumatran orangutan), 274 nucleotides long. It matches the Rfam family "Metazoan signal recognition particle RNA". From Rfam's summary of the family: The signal recognition particle (SRP) is a universally conserved ribonucleoprotein. It is involved in the co-translational targeting of proteins to membranes. NCBI's taxonomy places the organism in Eukaryota, Metazoa, Chordata, Mammalia, Primates, Hominidae. The record is from Ensembl.